GACGGGGCCGCACAAGCGGUGGAGCAUGUGGUUUAAUUCGAUGCAACGCGAAGAACCUUACCUGGGCUUGACAUCCACGGAACCUGCUGGAAACAGUGGGUGCCUUUCGGGGAGCCGUGAGACAGGUGCUGCAUGGCUGUCGUCAGCUCGUGUCGUGAGAUGUUGGGUUAAGUCCCGCAACGAGCGCAACCCUCGACCUUAGUUGCCAGCAUUCAGUUGGGCACUCUAAGGUGACUGCCGGCUAAAAGUCGGAGGAAGGUGGGGAUGACGUCAAAUCAUCAUGCCCCUUAUGACCUGGGCUACACACGUGCUACAAUGGGCGGUACAAAGGGUCGCGAACCCGCGAGGGGGAGCCAAUCCCAAAAAGCCGCUCCCAGUUCGGAUUGCAGGCUGCAACUCGCCUGCAUGAAGCCGGAAUCGCUAGUAAUCGCGGAUCAGCACGCCGCGGUGAAUACGUUCCCGGGCCUU
RNAcentral lists this ribosomal RNA (468 nucleotides) under uncultured Anoxybacillus sp. RNAcentral describes it as "bacterial SSU rRNA". It matches the Rfam family "Bacterial small subunit ribosomal RNA", at positions 917 to 1381 of the family's 1533-position model. Lineage: Bacteria; Bacillati; Bacillota; Bacilli; Caryophanales; Anoxybacillaceae. The record is from RNAcentral.